UCUUCGGCAAUGGGCGAAAGCCUGACCGAGCGACGCCGCGUGCGGGAUGAAGGCCUUCGGGUUGUAAACCGCUGUCGUAGAGGAGGAAAUGCAGGGGGGUUCUCCCUUCUGUUUGACCUAUUCUAGGAGGAAGUACGGGCUAAGUUCGUGCCAGCAGCCGCGGUAAGACGAACCGUACGAACGUUAUUCGGAAUUACUGGGCUUAAAGGGUGCGUAGGCUGCGCGGAAAGUUGGGUGUGAAAGCCCUCAGCUCAACUGAGGAACUGCACUCAAAACUACCGUGCUCGAGGGAGACAGAGGUGAGCGGAACUCAAGGUGGAGCGGUGAAAUGCGUUGAUAUCUUGAGGAACACCGGUGGCGAAGGCGGCUCACUGGGUCUUUUCUGACGCUGAGGCACGAAAGCCAAGGUAGCAAACGGGAUUAGAUACCCCGGUAGUCUUGGCUGUAAACGAUGAGCACUUGUUUGAAGGGUCCUCCAUAGCCUUUCAGACGUAGCGAAAGUGUUAAGUGCUCCGCCUGGGGA
Molecule: ribosomal RNA, 523 nt
Filed under: uncultured bacterium
Lineage: Bacteria
Description: bacterial SSU rRNA
Rfam family: Bacterial small subunit ribosomal RNA
Source: RNAcentral